RNAcentral lists this long non-coding RNA (4860 nucleotides) under Nicotiana tabacum (common tobacco). Its description in RNAcentral is "long non-coding RNA (NTAB_LNC012940)". The record is from RNAcentral. Lineage: Eukaryota; Viridiplantae; Streptophyta; Magnoliopsida; Solanales; Solanaceae.
UAUAAUUUGUUUGUAUUCAAUAGACAAUAGGUAGUGGACAUGUUACUAUACUGGUAUAAAUACCAAAGUUUCACACCAAUGAAAUACACAGAAAAUUCUCCUAAUUUUGAUCUUUCAAAAAUUCUACAUGGUAUCAGAGCAGUAGCUCUAAAGCAUCGAUCCUUUAGUUUUUUUUCUGUUCAUUUUUAUCUUCACUCUCCUGUCUUCAAUGGGUUCUAUUCCUGAAACAACUGAGGUCAGUUCAGCAAAUGUCACCACUUCUGCAAAUAAUGGAGGUGGAAUGAAGGACUCAAGUCAUCCUUACUUCCUUCACCCCUCAGAUUCACCCGGAAUGAACUUGGUAAACACAAACUUUGAUGGUAGAAGCUAUGGAGGGUGGCGCAGGUCCAUUCUUAUUGCUCUUUCUGCCAAAAACAAGGUGGGGUUCAUAGAUGGAACCUGCCUUGCACCAAGCUCAGAAACACCUGACUUCAAGUUAUGGAAUAGGUGUAAUGACAUGGUCAUAUCUUGGUUGUUGAACUCCCUUUCCAGAGAGAUUGGUGAAAGUGUUAUCUAUUCCAAAACAGCCUAACAUCUGUGGGAUGAUUUGGAAGAUAGAUUUGGUCAAUCAAAUGGUGCAAAAAUGUAUCAUUUACAAAAAGAGUUGAGUGAUUUGGUUCAGGGGUCAAGCAACAUAGCAGGGUAUUUCACUAAGAUUAAGAGGCUAUGGGAUGAGCUAGAUACCUUGAAUACACAUGUCAACUGCUCAUGUGAAUGUAGUUGUGGAGGAAAGAUGAAAAUGUCCAAAUCACUCCAGGAUGAGAGGUUAAUUAAGUUUCUCAUGGGGUUGAAUGACACCUAUGCCUCAGUGAAGAGUAGUAUCUUGAUGUUGUCACCCCUUCCAACUGUGGGACAUGCAUAUUCCCUGUUGAUGCAAGAUGAGAAACAAAGGGAAGUUUAUGUCAACUCUCAAUUCCCUGGAGAUUCUUCAUCCUUCAUGGCUGCAAAUCAAAAUCAUCCAAGUCAGAAGUUUGGAAACUCUUAUUUCAAGGGAAAGAAGAACAAUUUGAGCUGCUCUUACUAUAAAAAACCUGGGCAUUCAGUGGAUAAAUGCUACAGGAUCAUUGGAUUUCCAGCAGACUUCAAGUUCACAAGGUCAAAGAAGUUCCAAGCACCUGUUAAGAGCAAUGCAGCAUAUUUUGACAGUGAAGUAGGAGAGCAGAGCAUUGUUGAUGGAAGCAAUGGAAAUCAACAACUCACACAAAGUCAAGUUUCUCAGCUAGUUCAACUUCUUCAAUAGGUGAAGGGUAGUCAGACAGUGUCUUCAAGCUCAGAUGUUGGUGCAAAUGCUGCCAACUGUGCAGGUAUAUCCUUUAAUGGUUCAACUUCUAAAUCUUCUAAUUUCAAAAUCACCUUUUGGAUAUUGGAUUCAGGAGCUUCUGAACAUAUGUAUUCAGACCCUACAAUUUUUUCCACAAUCAAACCUCUUCCAAAACCUUUAAUGGUAAAUCUUCCUAAUUCAUAUAGAAUAAAAGUGACUCACAUUGGAGAUGUAUCUAUUCCCGGUAAUCUGACUCUAAAAGAUGUCUAAUAUGUGCCUUCUUUCAAAUACAAUCUACUUUCAGUUCAAAAAAUUUGCAAACAAUACAAUUGUCUUCUAAUCUUCUCCGCUACUGCAUGCAUGAUACAUGGCCUAUCAAUGAGGAUCCCUCAGGGUCUUGGUGAAGCAAAAUGGGACAUCUAUCUGCUAGAUUCUUCAAGCCAUAGGCCUAAGAAGUCAUCUAACAACAAUGUAGUUUCAUUACCUAAAGCAAGACAAUCUAGUCAUGUUAUUUCCCUUUCUUCAGUUUCUUUUCCUGAAAAGGUUAAUUCCAAUGUAAGGCUAUGGCAUCUUAGAUUAGGCCAUAUGCCAUUUUCUGCAAUGAAAAACAUUAAUAUGCCAUCUAUUUUCCCUUCUAUAUCCAAUGUUAACUAUCAAUGCGAUAUCUGUCCUUUAGCUAGACAAACAAGAAUUCCCUUUCAUUCAAGCAAUAUCAUCAGCAAACAUAUCUUUGAACUAAUUCAUAUUGAUACAUGAGGGCCAUAUAGGACAACUACCUAUAAUGGAUAUAGAUAUUUUCUUACCAUCAUUGAUGAUUAUAGUAGGGGAACUUGGACUUUUCUUUUAAGCACAAAAAGUAACGCUUUUUCAGUAUUAAAAGACUUCUUGGCCAUGGUAGAAAGACAAUUUUCCACCAAAGUUAAAAUUAUCAGAUCAGACAAUGCACUAGAAUUGGGUACAAGUUUAACAACCUCUGAAUAUUUAGUUUCUCGAGGGAUCAUACACCAAACUUCAUGCACUGCUACCCCUCAACAAAAUGGAGUUGUUGAGAGGAAGCAUAGACACCUUUUAGAAACAUCUAGGGCUCUAUUGCACCAAUCUAAACUUCCUAUUUCAUAUUGGGGAGAAUGCUUACUCACUGCCACUUUUUUGAUCAAUAGAUUUCCUUCAAGAGCCAUUAGGAACAAAACACCUUAUGAGAUUUUGUUUGGUAAAACUCCUAAUUAUGAUUUCCUUAGAUCCUUUGGCUGUUUGUGUUAUGCCUCAACUCUUUCUCAUAACAGGGACAAGUUAGGAGCAAGGGCUAAUGUUUGUGUGUUUAUAGGGUACCUUUAUGAUAAGAAGGGAUACAAACUGCUAGAUUUUAAUACUAAGAAGAUCUUUGUUUCUAGAGACGUGCAAUUCCAUGAAUCUAUUUACCCAUUUUCUCUACAAUCAAGUUCUCUUCCUAUGUUCCCUGGAUUUUUUCCACUUAUUGAUUUGGUUGACAGUAAUUCUGAUGUCAUCCAUUGUCCUUUCAAUUCCACUCAUCCUAUUUGUGAUACUCCUAAUCCAGUUCAUUCUUCUACUCCCAUUUCUCCUUCUAGUCCUACUUCAAACCAAAGAUCAGAAUCUCCAAUUUAUCCUACAUCAGAGUUAGAUCAUUCACAACAAGGUACAUCUCUACUAGUCUUGAGAAGAUCAGAAAGACCUCAUACUAGACCAACCUAUUUACAUGAUUAUGUUUGCAGUAAUGUUUACUUGACUACUUUAACUGAUUCAUGUUUCAAUCAACCUGUUAAUCCUACCAUUUUUUCCUUUGCUGGACUUUCCACUAUCAAUCAACAUCUUAUCAACUCUAUUUCAAAUAUAGUUGAACCUACUAGUUUUUACCAAGCUAAUAUGCAUCCUGGUUGGCAACAAGCAAUGGACACUAAGUUUAAAGCACUAGAAGCCAACCAAACUUGGGAAAUUGUGGAAUUACCACAUGGAAAAAAGGCUCUCCCUUGCAAGUGGGUUUAUAAAGUAAAACAUAAUGCAGAUGGAAGUGUAGAAAGGUUGAAGGCUAGGUUGGUUAUUCGAGGUGACAUUCAAAGAGAAGGGAUUGACUUUAACGAGACAUUUUCCCCAGUGGUAAAAAUGACUACCAUACGAUGCCUUCUAGCUAUUGCUAUAAAGAAAGGAUGGGGCAUCUCACAGCUAGAUGUAAACAACGCAUUCUUACAUGGUGAAUUACAUGAAGAGGUAUAUAUGAAGUUUCCAGCAGGAAAAAUUCCACCUAAUCCCAACCAUGUGUGUUUAAUUCGCAAAUCACUUUAUGGUUUGAAGCAAGCCUCGCGCCAAUGGUAUGCCAGGCUAACAGCCGCAUUAAGUUUCAAAGGGUUUCAUUCAUCUCUUAAUGACUGCUCACUCUUUUACAAGAAAUAAAUAGAUUCAAUUUCAAUUGUCGCAGUUUACGUAGAUGACAUACUACUUACAGGAAAUAACAAGGAAGAACUUCAUCAAUUGAAACAAUUUCUUCACCAGGAAUUUCAGAUCAAGGACCUAGGUGACUUACACUAUAUUUUGGGUCUGGAGACUCUUCGUGAGCCACAAGGUUUAAUCAUCAGUCAACGGAAAUUCACCUUGGAAGUUCUUGAAGAAUUUGAUUGUAGUAGUUUGCCAUCUGCCACAUCUCCAUUGGACCCUUCAUGCAAGCUUAGUAGUGAAUCUGGUGACCUUCUUUCCGAUCCAACUGUCUAUCGCCGACUCCUAGGCAAAUUAAAUUAUCUCACUCACACAAGACCAGACCUUUCUUAUCUGGUACAACACCUCAGUCAAUUCAUGUAGCAGCCCCGUGUGCCUCAUUUUAAUGCUGCCCUACGGGUGGUUAGAUAUCUCAGAACCAACCCUGGACAGGGUAUUUUCAUGUCCACUGAUCCCUCCUUCACACUACUUGCAUUUUGUGAUGCAGAUUGGGGAUCUUAUGUUGAUACACGACGAUCUAUAAGUGGGUAUUUUGUCACUCUCGGCGGAUCUCCAAUUUCAUGGAAAUCAAAUAAGCAAGCUUCAGUAUUGCUCUCAUCCGCCGAAGCAGAGUAUCGAUCUAUGAGGCGAGUAGUUGCUGAAGUCACUUGGCUAACUCGACUCUUGACAGAUCUAGCUACACCACCUUCUCUUCCGGUUUCUAUUCACUCUGAUUCACAAGCUACAAUUCACAUCGCUCGGAACCCUGUAUUCCAUGAGCGAACAAAGCACGUUGAACUUGAUUGCCAUUUUGUGAGGCAACAAUUUCUCUCUGGUUUGAUUUCUCUGUCAUUUGUUCCAUCAUCCCCUCAAUUAGCCGAUAUCUUCACCAAACCGCUCUCCGGGCCAUCCCAUAAUUCGAUUCUUGGCAAGUUGGGCGUCGCUACACUCCCCUCCAACUUGAGGGGGGUGUUGGAAUCUCAUCUAUGAAGACUAGUUUGAUAUAAAGAGGACAGUGGCAAAAUGGAUUUGGGGAUAGGGUCCAGAAACAGAAAAAUGGUCCAACAAUUGAAGACCCAAACCCAAAUUCUGAUUGGAAACAUAAUAGCUGUCAAAUUGGAAACAAAACAUAGUUG